Long non-coding RNA from Clupea harengus (Atlantic herring), 1292 nucleotides. RefSeq lists it as uncharacterized. Lineage: Eukaryota; Metazoa; Chordata; Actinopteri; Clupeiformes; Clupeidae. The record is from RefSeq and is a predicted model, not a curated record.
GACAAGAAUUUGUGUGCAAGGCUGUGGCCGUCCAUGACUUUUAGACUGCUCCCAUGAGUCAGUUCAACCAGGACAAGGGACUGAGGGAGUACACACCCUCAUCCGGGUUCUUUCAUUUAGAAGUUAGCCUGAUACCGACACUCACAACAAUCUAGCCAGCAGGCUAACGGCAAAUUAUGAAAAUAUUCGUUAUUUAAAUCGAAGAAAGCCUAAUAUUGACCAAGUGCGGGUCUCAACUGACAAAGACAGGAACUGUGUCCUAUACGUGGGGGAGCAUAUGGAUGUCAAAAGAAAGGCAGCGCCCUGAGAGUUGAUUUGGAUUGCUUUCUACGUUGGGAUAUUCCUGGUUCUGCCAAGAUGAAGGCUGUUGUUCUCUUCGUUUGAUUUUUUUCACAGGUUUGAGGAAGACUGGACAUUUUCACAGUGGGAUGAGGUAGUAGGUUGUAUAGUUUUAGGGUCAUACCCACACUGGGAGAUAACUAUACAGCCUUCUGUCUUUCCCAAAGUGAUGAGCAGGUCAUCGGAGUCACAUCGCAUCACCUAUUCAGAUUCAGAUACGACACAGUAAUGCAACGUCUCGGUUUUCUUCCCUCGGUGUCGUCCUAGGGAUGUGAUACCUGAGGCGUGCGCCAUGGCAGUGUGAGGUAGUAGAUUGUAUAGUUGUGGGGUAGUGAUUUUAUCCUGAGCAGAAGAUAACUAUACACUCUAUUGCCUUCCCUGACGGGCAGCAGAGCAUCUGUUGUGGGGAAAUCAAGAGGUAAGGAAUAAAUUCAUUUUUUUUUUUUUUUUUGUCUUUCAAUCAGUGUUUGGAUCAUUCCCCUAUAGCACUGGAUCAGUCUCAGGCCUCGCGCCCGGUAUUCGAUGAGGUCAUUGUGCUGAGUGCCCCUGUGGCAGGGCUUGUGAUUGGCUGAUCCAGAGGAAAUAUAUGGAGUAAGAUCAUGAUUGUGGCAGCCAUUUUGACAGGCAAAGAAUGUACUCUCAUUUGCCCUUCCUGAUUGCUUUGUGGUGGUAGCAGGGAAUGUCAUGAUGUAUCACUGUACUGUUGUUCUAACAGUAACCUUAUGGGAGAAGACAUUUUUGGUUGUACCAUGUUUGGUUUUAAUAAUUUUUUUGAUAGAGGAAAAUGAACAUUGGAUAUUUUUUUUAACCUUGCUUUAAAAAAGAAAAUCUCUGGCUUGAUGUAAAUCAAUUUGAAUGGGCGUUAUUACUGAUAAACAUCAUUUCAUUUUCUGUGAAUUGCAUUCCAAAAAUCUGUACCUCUUGACCCAAAUAAAAUAUGAAAAUGGAUUUCA